CCUACGGGAAGCAGCAGUGGGGAAUAUUGGGCAAUGGGCGCAAGCCUGACCCAGCAACGCCGCGUGAAGGAAGAAGGCUUUCGGGUUGUAAACUUCUUUUGUCAGGGAAGAGUAGAAGACGGUACCUGACGAAUAAGCCACGGCUAACUACGUGCCAGCAGCCGCGGUAAUACGUAGGUGGCAAGCGUUGUCCGGAUUUACUGGGUGUAAAGGGCGUGUAGCCGGGUUGACAAGUCAGAUGUGAAAUCCUGCGGCUUAACCGCAGAACUGCAGUUGAAACUGUUGAUCUUGAGUACUGGAGAGGCAGACGGAAUUCCUAGUGUAGCGGUGAAAUGCGUAGAUAGUAGGAGGAACACCGGUGGCGAAGGCGGUCUGCUGGACAGCAACUGACGGUGAGGCGCGAAAGCGUGGGGAGCAAACAGGAUUAGAUACCCGAGUAGUC
This 442-nucleotide ribosomal RNA is filed under the name uncultured bacterium. RNAcentral's name for it is "partial 16S ribosomal RNA". It matches the Rfam family "Bacterial small subunit ribosomal RNA", at positions 338 to 795 of the family's 1533-position model. The record is from RNAcentral.